This 468-nucleotide ribosomal RNA is filed under the name uncultured bacterium. RNAcentral describes it as "partial 16S ribosomal RNA". It matches the Rfam family "Bacterial small subunit ribosomal RNA", at positions 28 to 507 of the family's 1533-position model. The record is from RNAcentral.
GACGAACGCUGGCGGCGUGCUUAACACAUGCAAGUCGAACGGAAGGGCCCUGCUCUUGUGGGGUGCUCGAGUGGCGAACGGGUGAGUAACACGUGAGUAACCUGCCCUUGACUUUGGGAUAACUUCAGGAAACUGGGGCUAAUACCGGAUAGGAGCUCCUGAUGCAUGGUGGGGGUUGGAAAGUUUCGGCGGUUGGGGAUGGUCUCGCGGCUUACCCGCUUGUUGGUGGGGUAGUGGCUUACCAAGGUUUUGACGGGUAGCCGGCCUGAGAGGGUGACCGGGCACAUGGGUACUGAGAGACGGCCCAGACGCCUACGGGAGGCAGCAGUGGGGAAUAUUGCACAAUGGGGCGAAGCCAGAUGCGGAAACCCCGGGUGCGGGAUGACGGGCUACGGGGUGUAAACCGAUUUCUCCUGUGACGAAGCGAGAGUGACGGUAAUGGGUAAAGAAGCACCGGCUAACUACGUG